GAAAUGCGAUAAGUAGUGUGAAUUGCAGAAUUCAGUGAAUCAUCGAAUCUUUGAACGCACAUUGCGCCCUUUGGUAUUCCUUAGGACAUGCCUGUUCGAGCGUCAUCUAAACCUUCAAGCCCUGCUUGGUGUUGGGUGCCUGUCCCGCCUCCGCGCGCGGACUCACCUCAAAUCCAUUGGCGGCCCCCGCGUCGGCCACGAGCGCAGCAGAAACGCGAACUCGUGAGCCCGUCCGGGCGGCUCCCAGAAGCUACACCCACCCAGUUUGACCUCGGAUCAGGUAGGGAUACCCGCUGAACUUAAGC
Molecule: unclassified non-coding RNA, 305 nt
Filed under: plant metagenome
Description: partial contains 5.8S ribosomal RNA, internal transcribed spacer 2, and large subunit ribosomal RNA
Rfam family: 5.8S ribosomal RNA (bases 1-105)
Source: RNAcentral